RNAcentral lists this unclassified non-coding RNA (282 nucleotides) under Hevea brasiliensis (rubber tree). The record is from RNAcentral. Lineage: Eukaryota; Viridiplantae; Streptophyta; Magnoliopsida; Malpighiales; Euphorbiaceae.
UCACAAUAAACAAAACCCAUUACAGUGAUAUGGGCAUAGCUUUUGGUUGGGUCAACCUUUGAAGAUAAUGACUUGAUAAACAAAGAUGAAAGAAACAAGAGAAUAACUGGAUUCAUGGCAGCAAAAAUUUGGGAGAUUGGAGGGGGGAAAAUUCAGAUAGGCACCUCAAUGAACUGUUGGAUUUUAGUGAAUAGCAAUCAAAGCAUUAUGAUAUAGUUGUAGAAGAUGAGUUCUGUUUUGUGGAUAAGCAGCAGAGAGAGAGUUGCUGCUUGGUGGAGAUCC